GUGAGGAAUAUUGGUCAAUGGGCGGGAGCCUGAACCAGCCAAGUCGCGUGAAGGAAGAAGGAUCUAUGGUUCGUAAACUUCUUUUGCAGGGGAAUAAAGUGCAGGACGUGUCCUGUUUUGUAUGUACCCUGAGAAUAAGGAUCGGCUAACUCCGUGCCAGCAGCCGCGGUAAUACGGAGGAUCCGAGCGUUAUCCGGAUUUAUUGGGUUUAAAGGGUGCGUAGGUGGUUUGAUAAGUCAGCGGUGAAAGUUUGCAGCUUAACUGUAAAAAUGCCAUUGAAACUGUCGGACUUGAGUGUAAAUGAGGUAGGCGGAAUGCGUGGUGUAGCGGUGAAAUGCAUAGAUAUCACGCAGAACUCCGAUUGCGAAGGCAGCUUACUAAGCUACAACUGACACUGAAGCACGAAAGCGUGGGGAUCAAACAGGAUUAGAUACCCUUGUAGUCC
Molecule: ribosomal RNA, 445 nt
Filed under: uncultured bacterium
Lineage: Bacteria
Description: partial 16S ribosomal RNA
Rfam family: Bacterial small subunit ribosomal RNA
Source: RNAcentral